RNAcentral lists this ribosomal RNA (433 nucleotides) under uncultured bacterium. RNAcentral's name for it is "bacterial SSU rRNA". It matches the Rfam family "Bacterial small subunit ribosomal RNA", at positions 40 to 506 of the family's 1533-position model. The record is from RNAcentral.
CGGCGCGCUUAACAAUGCAAGUCGAGCGAGAAAGGGGAGCAAUCCCUGAGUACAGCGGCGUACGGGUGAGUAACACGUGGGUGAUCUACCUUCUAGUGGGGGAUAACCCUGGGAAACCGGGGCUAAUACCGCAUAAGCCUGAGAAGGGAAAGCAGCAAUGCGCUGGAAGAAGAGCCCGCGGCCGAUUAGCUAGUUGGUGAGGUAACGGCUCACCAAGGCGGUGAUCGGUAGCCGGCCUGAGAGGGCACACGGCCACACUGGCACUGAAACACGGGCCAGACUCCUACGGGAGGCAGCAGUGGGGAAUCUUGCACAAUGGAGGCAACUCUGAUGCAGCGACGCCGCGUGAGCGAUGAAGCCCUUCGGGGUGUAAAGCUCUUUCGGCAGGGACGAUAAUGACGGUACCUGAAGAAGAAGCUGCGGCUAACUACGU